This 400-nucleotide ribosomal RNA is filed under the name Sphingobacterium siyangense. Its description in RNAcentral is "bacterial SSU rRNA". It matches the Rfam family "Bacterial small subunit ribosomal RNA", at positions 1132 to 1533 of the family's 1533-position model. Lineage: Bacteria; Pseudomonadati; Bacteroidota; Sphingobacteriia; Sphingobacteriales; Sphingobacteriaceae. The record is from RNAcentral.
UGGGGACUCUAAACAGACUGCCUGUGCAAACAGAGAGGAAGGUGGGGACGACGUCAAGUCAUCAUGGCCCUUACGUCCGGGGCUACACACGUGCUACAAUGGAUGGUACAGCGGGCAGCUACAUAGCAAUAUGAUGCUAAUCUCUAAAAGCCAUUCACAGUUCGGAUUGGGGUCUGCAACUCGACCCCAUGAAGUUGGAUUCGCUAGUAAUCGCGUAUCAGCAAUGACGCGGUGAAUACGUUCCCGGGCCUUGUACACACCGCCCGUCAAGCCAUGAAAGUUGGGGGUACCUAAAGCAUGUUACCGCAAGGAGCGUGUUAGGGUAAAACCGAUAAUUGGGGCUAAGUCGUAACAAGGUAGCCGUACCGGAAGGUGCGGCUGGAAUACCUCCUUUCUAGAG